This 271-nucleotide unclassified non-coding RNA is filed under the name Volvariella sp. RNAcentral describes it as "partial internal transcribed spacer region". The stretch from base 1 to 46 matches the Rfam family "Eukaryotic small subunit ribosomal RNA", at positions 1786 to 1831 of the family's 1831-position model. The record is from RNAcentral. Lineage: Eukaryota; Fungi; Basidiomycota; Agaricomycetes; Agaricales; Pluteaceae.
AAGUCGUAACAAGGUCUCCGUUGGUGAACCAGCGGAGGGAUCAUUAACGAAUUCGAAACAAAGCGCCCUCGCGGCUGAUGCUGGCCCCUCGGGGCACGUGCACGCCUCGGGCGCCUUCAAUUCGCCUCCAACCCACCCUUGUGCACCCCGCGUAGGCCGUCGAUCACCUCGACGCCUGCGAAUUUCGUCCACACCCCGAUCGCAUGUGCAAGAGUUUUUUUGAAUGUGAAUAACACAAACACAACUUUCAACAACGGAUCUCUUGGCUCUC